Molecule: long non-coding RNA, 2274 nt
Filed under: Danio rerio (zebrafish)
Lineage: Eukaryota; Metazoa; Chordata; Actinopteri; Cypriniformes; Danionidae
Description: lncRNA (ENSDARG00000117691.1)
Source: RNAcentral
GGGGUUUUGCUCUUUAUUCUGUUUAUAUAAUGUGGGUAUAGUGUAAAAGAACUCUUCUCUUUUACUGUAUUAUUUGUAGUAUUAUACAGAUUCUUUGAAUUAAUAAAAUAAAACAAAGGCCAUGUGGACGCAAAUAACCCUGGCUAAGCCAUGAUUUUACACACAUCAACGCAUAGGUGGCAGUAUACACCGCUGUAACUCAGCAUUUAACCAGCAGAAGAAGAAACCGCAUGUUAAUUAUGAGUACACAAACAAAGCCGCAUUUACCUACAAAUAUUACUCCGAAAGACUCUAAAAAAAUGGAGGUUUGGCAAAAACCGCAAAGACGAAAAAAUGGAGCGCAAGGGUUCGAGUAAAAGCAAGAUGGAGGAGAUGACGGCCAGCGAGGAGGAGAUGCAAAGAAUGAGACUGGAACAGGAGAGGAUUCAGGCAAAGACGCGCGAGCUGCGGGAGCGUCAGGCCAAAGAGCGCGAGUAUGCAGAGAUCCAGGACUUCAGCCGGCCGCUGAGCUCAGACGAGGAGCACACCUACGCCGGCAUCGGCUCUCUGGACUCGUCUCUGGACAGCAGUCUAGAUCUGAGCCUCACGCCAGGACAGGAGCGUCCGUUGGGCCCUAGAGAGCCACCGCUGGCCCUUGAGACCCUGUACGCCCAGGUCAACAAGCCCCGCAGCAACCGGACGGCCCCUGCAGACAGUCUGACUCCCCUCUGGCUUGUCCCCCUGUUUGAUUUUGGCCCUCAUUGUGUCCUGCUGGCAUCCUUCAGUCUGGCUGCUUUGCCAGCACUUUGCUGCUGGCAGGUGUGCGGUGUGAAGGUGAACUCAGACUCUGAGCUGGACAGAGGAGUGAGACGCUGCUCUUCACAGCCUGGAUGAAGACGGACAGAACUUGGCAAGAAUGGAGACGCUUCUCAUGCGAAAUAUAGACACGUAUGCCAACACUCUCCACUGUCAGUCCAAGUGCACACAUGAAGAUAUGCGCACAGACACAUGCAUGAUGUUUUAUGGAGUCUUUCCAUAGACAUGUUGAUGCUUCUUCUGGACAGACUGUAUAUUCUCUCCCCCUGCCCCAACUCUACCCCUAAACCCACCCAAGGAGGAAGCAAUUUGCAGUUUUACAUUUCCAAAAUACUUCAUUCUGUUUGGUUUAUAAGCUGUCUUCAUCACGGGCACCAGAAAUGUCCCCAUAAGGUCAGAAUUACGUGUAUUGUAUACUUGCGGGGACAUUUGGUCCCCACAACGUGAUGAAUACCAAGACCACACAAACACACACACAAACACAGUUACACACAAACAAACAUGCAUACACACAUGCACAAACUCGCACGCAAACACAUACACUUACAUAGACACACACACACACAAACAUACCCACGCACUUGUACACACAAACACAUGCACAGACACGUACAUAUAUACAUCUACUGUACACACAUCUACAUUAAUACACACACACACACCCAAAACACACAGACACUAACACAAAAACACACAUAAACACAUGCACUUACACAUAUACACAUGCACACACAAAUUCACAUUUACCCACAAGCAAAUAUACAUACCCACAUACACAAAUGUGCACAAGCACACACAUGUGCGCACAAACACGUAUAUACACACACUUACACACAUACAUGUACACAUAUGCAUGCAAACAUACAUACACAUGCACACAUCCACAUUAAUUCACUGACACACACACACACACACACAAACACACUCACACACACAUACACACACACACACACAUAUGCACUGGUGCAAACACACAGGUGGGACAGGAGGCUUGAACACUAUUCUUCCCAUUAGUAUUAGACUGAGUUACACAAGCUACAGCUGCCUUACAGAUGGAUGAGUUGGACAUGGAUGUUUUUGUAUCUACAUAAUCUAAUUCAGACGACAUCGGAGGUCCACCAUAAACAAAUGGCCGUAAGUGCCUGCUGCAGAUUUCAAAGGGAAAGGCUCAUGCUCCAUUGAUUGAUUUUACCUUAAACAAGAUCUGAGGGAAAUUACCGCCACUGGAGUUUCCAAUUUCUUCAUUUGAGCUAAUUCAACUCUAGAAGGCAUUGAGAGGUCAGAGUAACUCCAAAUGUUUUAUUUGUCUUUCCUUUGAAGAUGUUUAAUAGAAAAGUUGUAUCAUUAAUAACUGUAGACUAAUGCAUUUUUAAACCAAUAACUAUAACCAAUAAAAUUACUUAAAUUUGAUAAUGCAAUACAAUAAAAUAAUUACAUUUAAUCAAAAUAAGAGUACUAAUGCUAACAACAACAUCAACA